This 253-nucleotide ribosomal RNA is filed under the name uncultured bacterium. RNAcentral's name for it is "partial 16S ribosomal RNA". It matches the Rfam family "Bacterial small subunit ribosomal RNA", at positions 524 to 776 of the family's 1533-position model. The record is from RNAcentral.
UACGUAGGGGGCAAGCGUUGUCCGGAUUCAUUGGGCGUAAAGAGCGUGUAGGCGGCCAGGUAGGUCGGUUGUGAAAACUGGAGGCUCAACCUUCAGAGGUCGACCGAAACCAUCUGGCUAGAGUCCGGGAGAGGAGAGUGGAAUUCCUGGUGUAGCGGUGAAAUGCGCAGAUAUCAGGAAGAACACCCGUGGCGAAAGCGGUUGCCUGGAGCUUUGCUGACGCUGAGGCGCGAAAGCGUGGGGAGCGAUCCGG